This is a long non-coding RNA of Salvia hispanica, 719 nucleotides long. RefSeq lists it as uncharacterized. The record is from RefSeq and is a predicted model, not a curated record. NCBI's taxonomy places the organism in Eukaryota, Viridiplantae, Streptophyta, Magnoliopsida, Lamiales, Lamiaceae.
UUCCCAAAUUCUAACUCCUCUCUUUUAUCCCUCUUUCUCCCAACUAAAUCAAAAUCCUUGAACAGAAGACUUCAUCUAAUCCCUUCUUCUUUCUCUCUCCAACAAAACGCAGCACCGCCACUGCCGGACACGCACAGGCAGCGGCGCUGCCUCCCCUCAGCAAACUCCACUCUCUCUUUCUCUAAUUCUCGCUGCCGGAAACCCAUUCGAUUUAGAGCCCCGUCGGAAGUCAUCUCUGGACCGGUUGCUGCCGUGCAGGCGCAGGUGUCGCCGUUCAAGGCAUCAUCGGCGCUGCAACUGCUCUUUCCGGCCAGCGAAUUUGGAUGCGGUGAAACUGGAGAAUAACUUUGCAUAUAGAAACAUAUACGACGGCUAUUGUUGGGAGUGAUGAUAUGAUAUAUGCUUUGCUGGAAAUUUUUCAAGGCGGUGGAAGGAUUUGGCAGAUUCUACGGAAGACACGUUGAGUUGGGAGUUAGCAUAUUUGAAAGUUUAUUGGGCUGUUAAAUAAAAAUAAAGAGGGCAUAGAGAUGGGCUCUCCCGAAAGUGGUCUUAAAAAUAAAGAUUGAGCUAAAAAUAUUUCAUAGGCCCAACAAUUACAUGUAAAUUUUCUUACAUUUUAUUUAAAUGGGAAUGUAGGGAUGUUCAUGAAUUUGUAAACUCAUGUGUAUUAGUGGUCUAUCAAUUACUUCAAAAGUGAAAUUCAUUUUAUUUUUUUUUCA